CUCCUUUGGUGGUUGGUUUUGGCUUUCAGCGUGGCUCUGCUGUUCACAGCUGGUGCAGCUCUGGAGUGCACUCGUUGUGUGCACUUGCCCGUGUCUAAUGUUUGUACGGAGGUGAGGCAACAAUGUGAGGAGGGCCAAGUCUGCGGCUUGGGAAGAGAUGAG
Long non-coding RNA from Hippocampus zosterae (dwarf seahorse), 162 nucleotides. RefSeq lists it as uncharacterized. Lineage: Eukaryota; Metazoa; Chordata; Actinopteri; Syngnathiformes; Syngnathidae. The record is from RefSeq and is a predicted model, not a curated record. The transcript has 2 exons.